GUUCUGAGCCAGACAACACAUAGAAAUCAAAGUUGAGUUGUGAUACAGGGGUUUAAGCGACAUGAGUUCAGAUAAGACAGGUUUGAUAGACCAAAGACACCAUUCUUGCAGAGGGUCGUAAAUAUCUUAUGUGAGGAUCGCAGGGUGAAGGGGGAGAGAGGGGGAGAGAGAGAAAAAAACAAGCGAACAGUGCAGAAGAUGGUGUUAGA
Pelobates cultripes (western spadefoot toad) is the source of this 209-nucleotide non-coding RNA. NCBI's taxonomy places the organism in Eukaryota, Metazoa, Chordata, Amphibia, Anura, Pelobatidae. The record is from the annotation of a GenBank genome assembly.